AGCAAGGUGGUAAAUUUGGGAGCUGGGAUUGCACAAAAGGUGAGUGCUUGAGACUCUCUCUUCCUACUCUUUCUCCUUAUUCUUUGGAUGACCUACCACCUGGAGGCUGGCUUAGAGUUCUAUGAAAUAAUUUCUCUGAAUUGCAUGAACGUGGCACAGGAGUGUUCACACAGAAGGGGGCGCAAAUUGGAGAAGGAUGCAGUUGAAUGGACAUCUUAGAUUUCAUCUUGUUUUGAACACUCCAUGGGGGAUUGCCUAGUUUGAUAGUUAAGUAAGAGAAUUUUUUCAAAGCGGAGUAUGAAGUCUGUGUCAGCACAAGUGACUUGGAUUGGUGACACAGGCAGCCUUCGUGUUUGAAUACCUUACCCUAAAGAAGAGGUCAUUCUCUUUCUCUUUUCAUGGUAGUUUAAUUCAUGAAUCUAACUGAUUCUAUAUUUCUCUUUCCAAACUUCUUUAAGGAUCAGGAACUAAAAUUAUCAAAUGUGAAGCUUUCAGUCUGGAAGUAAAAUGAAAAAGGAUAAAGCAUAAGAAAUUGAGUUGCCAGGAGCACCUUAAACAAGCAAAUCAAAUUUCAAAUAAAUUAAUCUUUACAAUAUCUGACAUUGUGCAUUCAAAAUGAAGAUACAUUCCUAAUCACACUCUCUGAGACCCUGCUGGAGGAACUGAGCUGUGGACCAGAGAUGCUGGAAAGAGAAGAAGAGAAAAGGACAAGAAGGAAAAACCAGAGCAAAAAUGAGAACAAGACAGAGAAGAAUGUGAAGAGAGUGUAAGAGGGUGCUGGGACAACUGGUGGGAGACCGAAAGAGAAAAAAGAAUAAGGCUUAAUAUGGAGGAGUCAGUGACAAGAGAAAAGGCUUACAUCUGAAAAGAAAGAAAGAAAUGCAUUUAGUGGGAAAUAGAAAAGCACCUGGAUUAUUUGCCUCAGUUUCUGCUCACAGAGAUUGUUCCCACCCUUUCCUGCAUCCAGGUGAUCACAAGGAGUGCAGUUUCCCACCAAGACACACAGACUGAGUAUUCACCCAAUGCUCACGUCAUGAUCUCACAGUUCCUGGGAUCAAGCCCUUGCAUUGGGCUUUGUGCUGAUAGCCCGAUUCUCUCUCCCUCUCUCUCUGUCCCUCCCCUGCUUGUGUUCUCUCUUUCUCUCUCUCAAACUAAACAAAUAAACUUAAAAAAAUAAUUUGGAGACUGUUUCCUUCCACAGAUAUUCAAUCAAAUAUUACCACUAACUGGAUUCUUAAAUUAUUCAAUAAACAUAUCUAGUAUUGUUAUAGCUAUAUAUGCCAUACACACACACACACACACACACACACAUACAUAUACAUAUAUAGGAUAUGUACAUAUAUAUAUAUUUAGCAGUUUUUUCCUAUAUAUAUGUAUGUAUAGGAUAUAUACAUAUACAUAUACACAUAUAGGAUAUGUACAUAUAUGUAUAUAUAUGUAUAUAUACAUAUAUAUACACGCAUAUAUAUACAUACACACACACACACACACACACACACACACACAUAUAUAUAUAUUUAGCAGGUUUUUUUCUGUAUAGCAGCACCAGCACAAAUAUUGAUGAGGAGGGAAAAGACUACAAUAAAGCAAAAAGUAUCUGUAAAUUCUCUGUUUUAUUUUCUUUGCAAAGAAGAAGCUAAAGCAGUUGACCCUGACCUGGAAGACAAGGAAGACUUUUCAGCCUAAUUGUUUCAAAGAGCUGGAGGUUUGUGUAAUAAAAUAGUUGGAAGAAAAUACUAAGGGAAUGUCCAAUCUAAGGCUGUAGCAAUUCAAAUGGGAAGGAUGGUCAGUCCUUUGACUGCUGAAAUGUCUAUCCUGUUCCUUUUCUGAUUCCUCGGAAUGAUCCAACCAUUUAAGUGGUCCAUUCAGUCAUAUGAAGAUCUCACUCCACCACAAGUGUCAGAACUCAAGAGUAUUCACUUGAUGAUAUUCCUGUGUAGAAGAAGAAAUGGUAUCGACCCAGAAUUGUGCCAAGGUCUCUGGCAUGUAUGGGCUUUUCUUCAAGGGAACAGAGACUAGUUAGCAGGCCACUGCAGUAAUGUAGAUGAGAGGUGUUUAUGACCUAAACUAGAUGUUAACCGUGGAGUUGGAGUUGGAAAGAAGUGAGUAGAUUCUAGAUAUAUUUUGAAGGUAGAACUAAUAGGAUUCACUAAAGAUAAGAUAUGAGGUGUGUGGAGGAGGCAUCAAGAAUGACUUUAGGGCUUUUUAUUUGAGAAAAAGUGAGGCGGGGCGGGGGGGGCAUUGGCAACCCCUGAGAUGGAGAAGGCUGUGGUGGAACACAUUUCAGGGGGGAGAGUUCAUUUCAAACAUGUUGAGUUUGAGAUGUCGGUUAGAAAUCCAAGUGGAAUUGCUGGGUGGCAGUUGGACUUGUGAGUCUGGAGUUGGUGAGAGAGGUCUGGACUGAAGGUAAAACUUGGAAUAUAUCAGCAUAGCCAUGGCCUUUGGAGCUAUUUAACUGGAGGUGAUCACUAUGGGAGUAUAUGUGAGGAAGAGUUGAGUGAAAAACAAAAAGAUGGUUAUCACUCUAUAGAGAAAACAAUCAGAGAAGGGAUAUAGGGAUUAAUGAGGAGAGUACAAUUUUAAGUAGGGUGAUAUUUGUGAAAUUAGAGAUAAUUCAUUUUUCCAAGAAGAAACUAGGACAAAUUGAGAAGCAAUAAUCAUUAAUAAAAGACAUAAUUCUCCAGAGUAGGAAAAAAAAAAAAAACUAACACAGUUCAUAAAAUGGAAUGGCACACUGUAUUCCAAGCAAAGUGAGUGAAAACAGAUCCAUACCCAUUAAUAUUGUCAGAAAAAUAUUGAAUGUUGAAGAUAAGCCAUCCUAUAGGCAUCCAGAUAGAGAACAUAGGUUAUUUAUUUAAAAAAAAAAAAGAAAAUCUGGCUACUUAGGUCUUUUCCAAAAGAACACAGGCCAAAAGGAUAUUAUAGUCCACGAAGUUCAUAUAACCAACCAAAGUCACAUUUACACGUGUGAACAAGUGUGGAAGACUCAGAAAAUACCAUUUUAUCCUCUUAACAACAACAAAAGGUCAAGUUUACUCUUAGCUUACUGAGAAUGACACAAGAAUGAGAUGAGCAAUGAUACAAGGAAAUACAGCAACCAAAGUCUAAUCAGUUGUUAUAAAAACAAGAAGAGUAAGUGUGAAACUAAACAAAAUCUUUUUUUAAAAAAAAAUUUUAAUGUUUUAUUUAUAUUUGAGACAGAGAGAGGCAGAGCAUGGGCAGGGGAGGGGCAGAGAGAGAGGGAGACAUAGAAUCCGAAGCAGGCUCCAAGCUCUGAGCUGUCAACACAGAACUCGACACGGGGCUUGAACUCACAAACUGUGAGAUCGUGACCUAAGCUGAAGUCGGAUGCCCAAUCAACUGAGCCACCCAGGCGCCCCUCUAAACAAAAACUUAUUAAAAAAAAUUUAUUUUGAUAUUCAUUUAUUUUAGAGGUAGACAGAGCACAAGCAGGGGAAGGGCAGAGAGAGAGGGAGACACACUCUGAAGCAGGCCAGGCUCUGAGCUGUCAGCACAGAGACUGACGUCGGCCUCGAACCCACCACCCAUGAAUCAUGACUUGAGCUGAAGUAGGGGACUUAACUGACUGAGACACCCAGGCACCCCUAAGCAAAAAAUUCUUGAAGGAGAACAUCUUAUAAAAAUAUUCAUGUAUUAAUAAAUAACACUUCCAGAGGAAGAUUUAAGGUAGAUAACAUGAAUAGAAAAAAGCCAGAAGGAAGACAUACAUUAAACAUAAGGAAGAUACAUGAAUAAAAAAAAAAAGAAACUGUAUAAAGUAAAACUCAAGUUAGCAGAAGAAUGUCCUAUGUAUUUUUUGAGGACUUGCAGCUUAUAUUUCAGAUGCCAGGGAUUCUAGUAAACUGGUUGUCUUUCUUGUUCUAUAUAUUUUUUAAUUAUCAGAAACUUGGCUCUAAGAAGUCUAGUAUACAACAUGAAUAGGUAUCACAAACAAUUUGUAACAUCUAUAGGGUCUGUGAAGGAAAUACGCACACACACACACACACACACACACACACACACACACGGAAUCCAGAAGUCCGACUAUUUCCGAUACUGUGACUUGCCUGAAAGAAUUUUUUUAACUUAAUUGGGAAAGGAAGCCUUAAGGUUAAUAAAAGACAGUAUUCAUGACAAUAUAUAUAAAAUAUCCAAUAAAUUUCACAGGCUGUUCCUUUUUUAAAAAUAAUGUUAUUUAAUAUAGGUUUGUGAUAUGGUGGCAAAAAUGAUUUACUAAUUUGCUAAUUUCUUUCUGAUUAUGGGGUCUAAUCCUGUCACAGAAUUUUUAAAAAUGUGCUUUAAGUUUAUUUAUUUAUUUUUAGAGACAAAGAGCAUGAGCAGGGGAGAGGCAGAGAGAGAGGGAGAAAGAGAGGGAGAGAGAGAGAAAAUACCAAACAGGUUCUGAUUGCCAGUGCAGCGCCCAAUGCAGGGCUUGAACUCAAGAGCAUUGAGAUCGUGACCUGAGCCAAAACCAAGAGUCGGACUUUUAACCGACUAAGCCACCCAGGAGCGCCUAAUUCUAACAGAGAUAUUUGAGUAUCUUGAAUAAUAUACUUCUGGCUAUCUUCAGUAAAUGUUGUCUUUCUUAGCAGAGAUAUUGAAAGUUAUUGAGAGGUGAUUUUGAGAUUAUGCUCCCUGAAAUUUGAUAGUAAAAUGCAUUAGUCUAGGUUGGGAAAACCCUUGAGUCCAGCAGUAUCUGAAAUGGAAGACAUGCUGAAUUUGAAUGCUCUGUUGCCCCUAUUUGGAGGCAAGGGUAUAACAAUUAACAGUUACCAUCUUCUAUAGUUGGGUACUUUUAGCCCAAAUGUGCAUUGUCAAAGAGAAAGUCACAACAAAAGACAGAUAAACUAAAAGUCUGCUAAAUUUCUUAUAAUAUAAAAAUUUGAAUUUAGAUACAUUUUAAUUGUUUUUUGAAAAAUUUUAUUGCAUUCAAAUUUAUAUUGUUUAUACUGUCAUAGAAUGACACUAGCUUUCAGCUGUGUAUUAUACAGCAUAGAAGCUGAUUUUCCUCUUUCACAUUUCAUGCUUUCUUUCAUUUUGUAGAGCUAGACUGUUUUUUCCCUUCUGAGACAUCACAAUGGUACCUUGUGAGGUGAUGUCAGGGUAUGAGGAGCUGAGGUGUGUUACAUACUGGGGUAGGGAAAAGGCAUAGUGUGUAGUUCUCCCUCUCUUAUAUCAGCUUGUUCAGAAGAAUUGCAAUGUAGUCCUUGCGUAUUUGUACUCUGGCCUUAGGCUUAAAAACCUAUGUAGUGUGAGAUCAUUCUGCCCCUUAACGGUCCACAAUAUUAAUGAGACCCUGUUAUAUGUCAGGCACUGUCCUAGGUACCUGGGAGGAAGAGACACAUUAAGUAAGAUAUGGCACUAUAAUAAAGAGAUAAAAAAAUAUAGUGGAUUAAACAACAGAGUUUAUUUAUCUUAUGAGAAAUUUGGAUAGAUGUUACAGUCUUGGCUCGCUGGCUGAACCAUGGUGGAGAUUUAAUGUCUUAUUCUUUUGUCCUCAAAAUAGGACUUCCAUUUCAUGGACCAAAUGGCCACCCCAAACUCAUUUCAAUUUUGCAUUCUAGCCAUUGGGAAGGGAGAAAAGCCAAGGGAAGACAUGUCCCUCUUUUAGGGGCCCUAUCUAGAAAUUACAUGUGGCUAGUGCUCAUAUCCCAUUACUAGAUUCUAGUCACAUAGCCACGACUAUCUACAAGGGAGGCUGUGAAAGGUAGUCAUUAGCUGGAUAGCCAUGUGAAGCAUAACCUUUACAGGCUAUAUUGUUAAAGGAAGAAAGAGAGAAUGGAUAUUGUUAGGUAACUAGCAGGCUAUUUACCAAGUAGUGAACAAAAUGAUCAUGAACUUUGGCUUCAAGUUGGCUUUUAGCUUAGAAUUACUCCUUUAGACCUAGUCAUAGUGUGCAUGCUGGGUAUAUAGCCCUUUCACUCCACCUGCCAACACUCCUCCUCCCAGAAGCCUCAACCUAAGGGCAUUUAGGUAUAGGUUACUAUGGAACUUACAAUAUAUUAACUACCUUUCUUCUAUUAUAUCCCAACAACUACUGUUUCUACAUAUUCCAUCCAGUGUCUACACAAGCUGGUUAAGUGUAUGUCUCUCAUUCUACUAUGAUCUCAUUUUAGACAAGAUACCUUAACUGAAUGAAAAAAAAUUAUGUUGAGAACAAAGCCAAGUACAAGUAAAUAUCCAAUAAAUAAUUUGAUAGAUUUUUGUUAAAUUGGUAGUGAAAGUUAGCACAGGAACUGGGUACUGAACGGAGCAAGAAAACUCAAUUCGAUCCAGCCCAAUUUAAAUGUAAACUGAGCCUACAUUAUUGCUACUUUUCACUCUCUCCUCACUAUGACAUUUAUGUGCUUGUUUAGUUUAGGGCUACACAGAAGAAUGACCAUGAACAUUGACUUAGGAAAGGGGAGUCAGGAAAUUGUUCACCUUCUUGAUCAUUUUGUCAACUUCUUUCUCCCAAGGGAGAUAUUUAUGUAGCCCACUAACUUCACUAGACUGAAUAAAAUAUAUCUUGGUGUUUUAUUUCUCUAUAAUUUCUGUAGAAAACAUUUGCAUACAUGUUCACAGAAGGAGAGAAUCUAGAAAAGAAACUUAAUUUUCUAUGCUACUAUAUAAAAUUUAGUCAGUGAAUCCAACAGAAUGAUGGCAUGGACAAGAGAAAAAAAAACUGUGGGGAGAAAGAGAAGAGAAGGGAAGCAAGAGAGAUCUAUAAUGAUUUUGUUUAAUUUUUUCUUUGUCAUACAUAGCCACUUACCUUUGUGGCAAUGAGGGAUGAAUAACUAGAACUGUAAUACAGAGUAAUACAUUGAGAGCCAAUUACUAAUGAUAUAGGAACUCUAAAAAGCAACACAACUAACUUGUAGCAAAUCAGCCAGAGUUUGAAGGAAAAGCAGAUUUAUAAAAUAGUAUCGUCUAAAGAACAUCCACAAAAUCAGAGACAUAAUAAUGGCCUUAAACUUUAAACUGAUGAAGAAAGUAUUAUAAAUUGUAUCUUCUGACAUGGAAAUUCUCCCAAUGGUUGGAAUUUUAUUUCAACAGAACCUCUGUUUCUGAAUUAAAUGUCAUAAAUCUGAGAAUUGUAUUCACUUUUGCCACUUGAUCCGUUCGGUAGUAAAUUUGUGGUCAGCCUCCAUGAAGUUUCCAGCCACCCUCAAAUUCAUAGUUCAGGUUAGUCUGAGUAGUACCCUUUCCUUUUAAAAGAUUCUUCUUUGGGACUUGUCCACACUGUCCUAUUGCAGCUAGGACUCAGCAUUUCUGACCUUGGUAAUGCUCUUGACAUUGUUUUGGGUUUCUUGGCUAUUACAUCAUAAGUUGGCAAAUUAUAUUUUAUACCAGAAUUGUAGAGAUACAAACCAGCCUUAAUUUCAACCCAGAAGUCGGGUUUUUCUUUUGUGGAGAUGAUGAAAUAAGUACCUUUAUGAGCAAAUUUUCUCUGUUUUAAGGUUAAAAUCUCACACUUAAGAAGAUCCUCUCAAUUUAAUUUUAGUUUUGCUGGGGAGCAAGAAAAUGAAGUGAACAAAAAGAGAAAAACCUGAAAGUAACUCUGUCCAGUAGGACAAGUGUAGUGAUACCUAGUUUGACUAGUGGGACAGACCUGCCAAAACACGGGAUAGAUGUAUCUCAUGCUUAUAUAUUAUGCUUAUAUCUAUGCUUAUAUCUAAUGCACUUCCCUUUUUGCUGUUCCAAACAUCAUAAAGAUGAUAAAUAUAUAUAGGAUACUUUAGCUGAUGGUAUACCUUAUGGUUAAUUAUGAAUCAGUUUGUAAUGAAAUGAAUCGUGUGAAGGAAAUAUCAAGGAUUAUGUGAUCUCGAGGUGGUAGCCCUUUUGUGAUAGGAUCAGGCAGUUGGAAGCUAUACCUUUAUGUGACAUACACCCACGGAUGUAUUUCUGAAGCAUUUAAGAAAACAGCCCAGGUUAGAUGGAAGAAGCUAUUUCUAUCACACUCUAUGAACACAAAACAAUAAUAACAUAGAAAAUGAGUGUAAAGGAAUAAAAUACAAAUUGCAUGGAAUAGAAAUUAUCCCACUAGCAACAAAUACGCCAUUUGAAAGAUGGUAUAAAUUGAAACCAUUAGGAACUGAUAGUAAUUCUUAAUUCUUCAGUCUAUGCUGUAACCAGCUGGACACACAAUGAAUGCUGGGUCACCUUUGCAAGGAGUAUAUGCUAUUCUUCAGCUAAUUGACAGAGGCAUAGAGCUAUAUAAUGGCAACGUUUGUCACCAUUACCUCCAGAGAAGGAGACAACUGGGUCAAAAUCUGGCUCCACCGCUGUCUAAGCUUGGACAGGAUAUUUCAUUUAAUUUGAACUUAAUUUUUUUAUUUGUAAAGCAUAUAUUAAUAUUCAUCAUAGUAUUUUGUAAGGAUUGGAUGGCAUAGUAUAUGUAGCCAGCCAGUGCAUAGUAGUUGUUCAAUAAAUUAAUUGCUGCCCCUACUGGCUUGUGGUUCCUCACUCAGUACUGUCUGCAGUGGGGUGGGGGAGCACUAAGUCAGGUGAGGAGUCUACAGGAGUGCCUGUGAAAACUGAGGCCAAACACUAGCUAAACAAAUAAAAUGGGAUUUAUCGUUCAUUAUUUUUCAAUUUGCCCUUUGUGUUUCUUUUGAGUAGUGGUGAAGAUCAUGGAGUUGGGGAAGAGUAAGUAAACACUGUUGUUUUGGUGAUCUUUUCUCCUUAGCGUUCACCCAAAUUUUCAUAGUCUUGAUGACUGAUUAGGUUUUGACAAUUAACUGUGAACAAAGAAGAAUUGUAAAUAUGGUGUAACAUGCAUGAACCAACGAACGGUGUUUUAUUUUGUUCGAAUUAGCUCUCUAGGGGCUAAUAUGACCAUAUUCUAGGUAUUAAUUUAGCUUAUGUGGCUCCCACUGAAACUGUUUUGGUUUCUAUGGAGACUUUUGCUCUGGUUUACUGGUAUAUAACUAUUUCCUCACCUUUUCAUUUCCUGAAAUAGCACCAAGUACAGUAUCUAAAUUUUGACUAAUAUAAAUCAAAGCACAUGCUUUCCUUUCAGUAAAGUCCUCUAUUUCAACAUGUGUGCAGGAUUUUCCUUUUUAAUGCAUUAGACAUCUGUUAUUUCUAAUGGGGAUAAAAUGUCACAUGUUAAAAACAAUAAAAGUUAUUAAAAGCAGUGCAAGUUUGAAAUAUUUUGAAAUUACUUGUUAGAAAUGUACUUUUUUUCUUUUAGUGUAUGGCAGUUUUCAAACGUGAAUACGAAAAGUCCAUGAAAAUGAAUAUGCAUAUGAAUACGUAAAGUUUUGGGGAUCACACUCACUUGGUUCUAAUAUUAAUCCUUUUAAAAAAUGAAGUAAACAUCAAAUGUCAAUACAAUAUGAGCCUUCACACACACAUGCACACACACUCAUAUAUGCGUUGUAAUUCCCAUGGGGCUAAAUAGGAAGCAAAAUUUGGUACUAAUUGUUUAAAAACCAGGAAUAUCAUUAGAAAUAAGUAUAGUUUACUGUAGUUAUUUUCAUUAGGAGUGCGUUUGUGUGUAUGUGUGUGAAUUGCGGGUGAACUCAGCUGUUUUUGAGAAGGCUCACAACACUGUUAAAAUUUCCAUUUGCAUUUUCCAUUUCAGUGUCAAUAAAAUUGAAGUGCAUAUUUGUGAAGUACUUUUCCUUUUAGUUGUUAACUCUGUGUAUUUAAAGGUAAAUUUAAUCCCUAUCUUUCUAAUUAAUUUCAACUUCUCUUGCAUGUUGAGGGUCAAUGUCAGAAUACUUGUUUUAUUGAAUACAGAUUUAUAAUAGAAAAGCCCUCUUUUCCCAAAACCCAAUGAUUGCAUUUAUAUAAAACAAAACAAUAACUGGGAAGCGAUUCAAGGCUGUUAGAGAUCAGGUUACUGGAUAUCCUUGUAGGGAGAGAAGAGUAGUAAGUGGAGGGAAGCAUAAGAGGGGCCUCUCAUAUGCUGAUAACGUUAUGCUCUGUGGUAUCCAAAGAAAAAUAUUACAGAAUAUCAUGUCUAAGUAUGUUAAAUAUCUAGUUUUAAAUGUUUUAGUGCUAAGAAGGCAAUAAUUCUCACUUAAGUAACACCGUCCUGACAUACAACUAGCAGAACUCACAAAUUUUACUGUGUGGCUAUUUUUAACAUAAAAUGAUUUCAUUAUUUUUAUUUUUUUGUUUUGAUGACAUUUAAUAGUUCUCUUAAGAACUUUCAAUCCUGUAAUACAGUAUUGUUAACUAUAGUUGUCAUGCUGUAUAUUAGACCCUCAGAACUUAUAACUGGAAGUUUGUACCCUUUGACCAACAUCUCCCCAUUUCCUCUGCUCUGCAACUCCUGGCAGUCACCAUUCUACUCUAUUUCUAUGAUUUUGGCAUUUUUAGAUUCCACAUAUAAGUAAGGACAUACAGUAUUUGUCUUUCUAUGACUUAUUUCACUUAGCAUCAUGUCCUCAAAAUCCAUCACUUUGUUGCAAGACAGAAUUUCCUUCUUUUUUGUGACUGAAUAGUAUUUCAUUGUAUGAAUAUCCCACAGUUUCUUUAUCCACUCAUUUGUCAGUGGACACUAGGUUGUUUCCAUGUCUUGGUUAUUGUGAAUAAUGCUGCAGUGAACACGAAGGGUGCAGAUAUCUCUUCCAGAUAGUGGUUUCAUUUCCUUCAGAUAGAUACCCAGAAGUGGGA
Molecule: long non-coding RNA, 10608 nt
Organism: Panthera uncia (snow leopard)
Lineage: Eukaryota; Metazoa; Chordata; Mammalia; Carnivora; Felidae
Exons: 4
Source: RefSeq, a predicted model, not a curated record